Molecule: transfer RNA, 74 nt
Filed under: Otolemur garnettii (small-eared galago)
Lineage: Eukaryota; Metazoa; Chordata; Mammalia; Primates; Galagidae
Description: tRNA-Ile (TAT) (tRNA-Ile-TAT-6-1)
Rfam family: tRNA
About the family: Transfer RNA (tRNA) molecules are approximately 80 nucleotides in length.
Source: RNAcentral
GCUCCAGUGGCGCAAUCGGUUAGCGCGUGGUACUUAUAAUACCGAGGCUGUGAGUUCGAGUCUCACCUGGAGUA